This 995-nucleotide long non-coding RNA is filed under the name Eucalyptus grandis. RNAcentral describes it as "long non-coding RNA (EGRA_LNC005075)". The record is from RNAcentral. Lineage: Eukaryota; Viridiplantae; Streptophyta; Magnoliopsida; Myrtales; Myrtaceae.
UUAAAGCCAGGCGAGAGAGAGGGAGAACCGGCAGUUCAACUCCACUCCUGCCGAUGCAUCGCCACCACCAGUUCGCUCCCAUGCACACGCGUCUUUGAAGAUCACCCGUCACCUCCACACACGCACACGCUCUCUCUCUCUCUCGCAAGCGCAGCAGCAGCCGCUAGGUUCGAUCUCUUGCUUCCUCCAGGACCGACGACGAAACAUUUAAGCGGGUAAAGAAACGAGGAGCAGGGCCUCAUCAGGGAGAGAGGGAGAGAGAGAGCGACUACGACGAUCGGUAGUCCCUCCAGCAACCCUUUUGUUUCCUUGCUCUCGAUCGAUGUUCGGUUGAUGCCGCCACGUCGUCUCCUCUCGGGUCCCCUGCCAGUUUCUUCUGGGGCUCUCUGAUGUAUCAUGAGCCCCUUUUGUCUGCAUUCGUGAGAUCGAAUUAAAUUCAGGACGUUGGAGUAAAACGGGAGUAAAAUUGCAGUUGAAAAGUGGACAAAAUAGGGAAGAAGAUAAAAGAGCUAGAAUUGAAAGCUAGUAGCCCCCCCCCCUCCCCCUCAAAGGAUCCAAGAAAGUACAAGCUUUUUUCCCUUCUCUCUCGACUUAUUUUUUUCUUCUUCUGCUAUUCGUCAUUAAUUUGGCCAGAUUCUUCUGCUGCUGCUGUUGCUGCUUGAUGCAUGCCCGUUGGGUCCCUUUUCAUGUCGGCUCUCUAAACCGCCGAGAGGAAAUCAUAGCCUUCUUUGCGGGGUUUUCUUUUUCCUUUCCCUUUGGCUUAUUUACUGUGCAGAGAUACGGAGGCAACUGAGAGUUAGCGGCCAUAGAGAGAGAGAGAGAGAGAGAGAGAGAGAGAGAGAGGGAGGGAGGGAGGGAGGGAGGGAGGGAGAGAGAAUACAUCAGUUUUCAUGGAGUCCUAUCUGGGCUUUGCUUGUGGAUUCUGGGUUCUUGAGAAAAUGGUGAUUUUGACCGUACCACAACCCAUUGUUUCCUCCUUUCUCUAGCACCUAAUU